This 396-nucleotide ribosomal RNA is filed under the name uncultured bacterium. RNAcentral describes it as "partial 16S ribosomal RNA". It matches the Rfam family "Bacterial small subunit ribosomal RNA", at positions 523 to 918 of the family's 1533-position model. The record is from RNAcentral.
AUACGUAGGGGGCGAGCGUUAUCCGGAUUUACUGGGUGUAAAGGGAGCGCAGACGGAGAAGCAAGUCUGAUGUGAAAGCCCGCGGCUCAACCGCGGGACUGCAUUGGAAACUGUUUCUCUAGAGUACUGGAAGGGCAAGCGGAAUUCCUGGUGUAGCGGUGAAAUGCGUAGAUAUCAGGAGGAACACCGGUGGCGAAGGCGGCUUGCUGGACCGUAACUGACGUUGAGGCUCGAAGGCGUGGGGAGCAAACAGGAUUAGAUACCCUGGUAGUCCACGCGGUAAACGAUGAUCACUAGGUGUCCGUGGGUAUGACCCAUGGGUGCCGCAGCCAACGCAAUAAGUGAUCCACCUGGGGAGUUCGUUCGCAAGAAUGAAACUCAAAUGAAUUGACGGGG